This 289-nucleotide ribosomal RNA is filed under the name uncultured bacterium. RNAcentral's name for it is "partial 16S ribosomal RNA". It matches the Rfam family "Bacterial small subunit ribosomal RNA", at positions 332 to 619 of the family's 1533-position model. The record is from RNAcentral.
CGCGCCCUACGGGAGGCAGCAGUGAGGAAUAUUGGUCAAUGGCCGGAAGGCUGAACCAGCCAAGCCGCGUGAAGGACGAAGGUGCCAAGCAUUGUAAACUUCUUUUGUCAAGGGACAAAAUCAGGCUCGAGAGCCUGACCGAGGGUACUUGACGAGAAAGCAUCGGCUAACUCCGUGCCAGCAGCCGCGGUAAUACGGAGGAUGCGAGCGUUAUCCGGCUUUAUUGGGUUUAAAGGGUGCGUAGGCGGACUGUUAAGUCAGCGGUAAAAGCCCGGGGCUCAACCCCUGC